AUUGGAGCCGACAGGAGCGGAGCAGGCCAGUGCCGUGGGUCGGGUCGUCGGCGGGAGAGCAGCUGCGUUGCAUCUCUCCCUCACUUGCUCUGGGAGGUCACCAGGAGGGUUGCGGCAUCUCCAUCUCCGGAGGAUUACAGUCUACCUCUCGCAGGUUGUUGUGCCUCUCCCUCCUCCAGGCUUCACCCCAAUGUUUGUCUUGUCUUCUAUCCUGCUGCUGCGUGUAUGGCCGCUCCUCUUCAUCUCCCCUUGCCAUAAUGAACCUUGUCAUUGCAACCGUUUGAAGUUAUAUCAACUCUUUGUUUUCUUCCCCUGCCUUACACUGAACUACACAUGCAGAAAUUGCUUUACUUAUAAACUAUGCAGAUUCCAUGUAUAUAUGCCUACAAGGUGUUUGACAAUAUUCCUAGCAGGUUGUUCCCAUAUUGUGUUUCUUAUUCUUUUGAUUUUUUGUGUUGCGAGGAGAUAAAGAAUCAAAACUGAUUUGUUUGGUCAACCAACUUAAGUACUGGUUAGCAAAUCUAUGGGCCUAUAUUUUGCCUUUGAUUUUAGUUAGAGUAGAGUUACAUCCUCCAUUGAGAUAUUUGUUGUAUGUUGUCUGACACAUUGUACCUGCCUCGUCCUCGCCGCUCAGCCCGAGGAGCACAUGCUCCUUCUGUGCUCGGCACCAGCGACUUCGCGAUCUUCCUCGAUGCAACGCAAGAGGAGCACACUCCCGAGAGGGGCAUCCAUGGCGUUGGUUCCGUCGACCUGUUCCCAGCUAUUCUGGUCCUCCCCGUUGCCGUCGCCCUGUUCGUCCCUCUCCAUGAGCUCGCGCCACUAAGCAGCCGCGACACCACAUGAAACCGUCAGUGUGUGUUCGGUGUGCUCCUGGUGGCUGCAGAACUAUGUGUACCCGAGAGUUGUCCUUGGACGUUGACUGGGUCAUGUUCGACAACACUCUUUGGUUUGUCAUGAAUGGAAAUAUGGAACAUGUAGAUACAGUGCGGAAAUCUGGAAGAUGAUGCUCACGUGCUUUUUGCCUUCUAUAUCUGAGGGUAAGAACUAAAGAGAAGAGUCAAUGUUGUUGUUGAGGAUCUCAGAACUGGUCCCUGGAUUUGGUGUUGUUGAGAUAAAGAGAAGGAUCUGAAGCUACAACCCCUUC
Molecule: long non-coding RNA, 1144 nt
Organism: Lolium rigidum
Lineage: Eukaryota; Viridiplantae; Streptophyta; Magnoliopsida; Poales; Poaceae
Exons: 4
Source: RefSeq, a predicted model, not a curated record